This is a long non-coding RNA of Bacillus rossius redtenbacheri, 4944 nucleotides long. RefSeq lists it as uncharacterized. Lineage: Eukaryota; Metazoa; Arthropoda; Insecta; Phasmatodea; Bacillidae. The transcript has 2 exons. The record is from RefSeq and is a predicted model, not a curated record.
UCUUAGUUUCCCAUAUUGUCCCGAUUAUAGUAUUUGUUAUAAUUUCUGUGGCGCUCUGUGAUUCAUUAAUUGUUGUUUUGUUCCUGUUGCUGUCGCCAGUAGUAGCUCCACUCAAGUGCUCGGUGCUGCCCCUCAGCGGCAAUGUGGAGUUCCAGCCCUUCGUGUGCCAGCUGUGUGUGCAGAGCAGUCAGUGGGCUUGCAGGGAUUCUGUUGUGUCAUCAUCCUCGGUGGGCAUGACCAGGAACAUUCAUACAUUCAGAAAUUACAUCAUAUUUAAGAUAAUUUAAUAUUUAAUGAUUUUGCAUGUUAUUUAGACACACAUUUCAGGGAAAUUGUUGGCAAACUUUGCCUAGGCUUGUGGUAAGCAUUGAAGACCCUCCACUCCUGAUUAUUACUGACAGUUUUGGUAAAAGACUAGAAACAAUUAGUAGAGACCUGCAAAAUUCACAGAUUCAUUCGGUGAUAGGCUAGAAUUCAAACACAUAUACCUCUUAGAUAAUUUUGCUAUUGGCUUACUGUUCAUCUGGGCUAAUCUCAACCAGUUAUAAACCCUCAACCAAAGAAGGAUUGAAUCACAGACAAACCAGCUUAGACGACUUAUAAGUCAGCAGCCAAUGAACUUGCGUUAUUUGCCCGAGUGUACAGGGGUAUGUGCAAUCUAUUCUGAAGGCCAUUGAAACCUGAAUUUUGCAGGUCUCUAACAAUUAGGUAUUGUUGGGUCCUUUGGAAUGAGAGUCCUGUGGUUUACCACUGAACUACCCUUGUUUGUUUCAAAAAAAUAAAAAUAUUUGUCUACAAUGUUUUUAUUUUUGACAUGAAGGGUAAAGAUAUGAAAAUACAAAAGUACAGCUACAAAUCUUUUAAAUGCAAUGCCAAAAGCAAAGAUUUUACAUUUUAACAUUUUCCUUGUUACAGUUGUUUUAUAAUCAUGCAUUAAUAAAUAAAAAGAAAACUUUAUUAAACGAUUACAAACAGAGGAUUGGCUAGAUAUCUUUAACAUGCUAAGUGUAUUCAAAAAUGCUCUACCUUAAUAAGUACAAUAGUUAAAUACAUUAAUGAAUCAUUCCCAACAAAAAACAUUUAACUAAAUAACCAGAACAAGAAUAAUAAAUGGAUUACCAAAGGUAUACAAACUUCCAGCAAAUAUUUAAAAAUACUCCACCACAUAAGAAACAAGGAGUAAGCACUUCCUUCCUUGAAUAUUACAAAAAUUACAAAAACAUUUACAGAAAGGCAUUACAUCAAGCUAAAACGAUUCAAUUAGAAAAAGUAAUUCACCUAAGCCAGGAAAAAGAUAAAAACCACAUGGGGUAUUAUAAAGAAAGAAUCAGGCAUGUCAGAUGUUAAAAGUGAUUGCAUUAAAAAAACUAGAGGCUGAAGGAACCGAACUUAAAGAAGGUGAAAAAAUUGCUUCAGCAUUUAACACGUACUUCGCUAACAUCAGUGAGAAUUUAAAUUCAAACAACAAUGAACCGAUGACGAAAGCUAUAGAACAUUUAAAAACCAAGUGCCAGCCAAAUUCAAAAACUAUUUUUAUAUUUCCAACCACAGAACAAGAAAUUAUAAACAUUAUUAGUAAUCUAAAAAAUACACACACUACAGAUGUUUAUGAUUUAUCAAACAAAAUAAUAAAAAUGUCUAAAAACACCUACGUAAUUGCAAAACCAAUUACAGCUAUCUUUAAUGAAGCAUUGGUAGGAGUGGUACCUGAUUGUUUAAAAUUAGAUAGGGUCCUGCCUCUGUAUAAAAAAGGUAACCCAACAAAUCCAGAAACUAUAGGCCUAUUAGUAUCCUACCUAUAAUUGCAAAAAUAUUUGAAGGGGUUGCAUAUAAAAGAAUUAUUUCAAUUUUUACCCAUAACAACAUAUUAAGAAGUCAAUAUGGUUUCCAAAAAAAUAAAACAUCAGCAGCCAUUAAUGAAUUCAUAAAUAAAGUCUUAAAUGCACUGGAUAAUAAUACCUUAUCAUUAGGACUUUUUUGUGAUUUAUCCAAAGCUUUCGAAUUAGUCAAUCAUGCAAUUCUCCCAGAUAAACUAUAUCACUAUGGCAUAAGGGGCACAGCACACAAAUUAAUGGAAUCAUAUCUGAAGGAAACGAAACAGAGGGUAGAAAUUAAAAAUGUAAUUGGUAAGAAAUAUUCAAAUUGGUCAAUUGUCAGAGAUGGGGUGCCACAGGGCAGCAAUUUAGCACCAUUACUAUUUUUAAUAUAUAUAAAUGACAACUCUACCAAUAGACCAAGGUCAGCUUAUCCUUUUUGCAGAUGAUACAUAAGUUAUAAUCACUGGGGAAACUUCAAAAUCAGUACAGGAGAAAACCAACGGAGCCAUUGAACAGAUGAAAAAUUGGUUCUCAUACCACAAACUUGUAUUGAAUGUAGGGAUGGGAAAACCGAUUCCCAAUUUCAUUGAUACCUACCGAUUCUACUUAAAUAAUCGAGAAUCGAUGAUAAAAGUCGAUUCCCGCAUGUAGCAAAAUAAAAUCAUUUCACAAAAUUGCAAAUCUGUCAGAUACAAUUAUUUAACGACUCUUUGAGUGGGGUUAUGACUGACUAGACGCAUAUAUAACAGUCAUAUUUCCCCAAAUAAACAAUAUCUAAAACUUGGGUCGAUGUUAUAAACAAGUCAAAGUACAAACAUUAUUUAUAAAAAUAUUAUCACUGCGUAUUCUUUUCGUGAUCGCGAUUAAACGACGAUAAACGCGAAAUCACCGUAAAAUACAGUUUAUACGCGAAAUCGCCACAAAACAGCGUUUUUCCACGAAAUUUAGUAUUAAAAUGCGAAAUCGCAAUGUUUUUACAGGAAAUUUAAAUACUGUGUAAAAGACUUGUCUCGUCACUGGUAAACACCGCAACAUGGCCGCCACUAAACAUUAAUCAUAAAUGCACUAAAGCAAACAAAAGCUUACACACGCUCACGUUAUAAUGUUAAACCCAAAAAUAUAGUGUAAACAUACGCAAAACUACGGCGUUUAUUUUCCUUCCCGGCAUAAUGUUUGGAUAGAUAUCACAAGCAGGUGAAGUUUUAAAGCCUACGCUUUAGUGCUCGGGGCACUGACGACAGCUUGGAACAGCGACAACGGAUAAAUACAAAAGCAAGCAGAUGAUUGGGCGAACGGUGUUUGUAACAGCCUUACGUGAGUGGCCAUACCACGUCAGCCGGGGGCGCUGGCAUAUAGUUGGAACAGCGUCGUAGUAUCAAGCAGAUUAUAACGGGCGAACCAGGUACCAGGCUCUGUACUUCGUCACCCAGCCGUACGUGGCAGCACAAGCAUUUUAAAACGCGCCAAAAAGCAGGAAAAUGUAAACAAACAUUCAUUUUCGAAUGGUGUGACGAUGAUGAUUAGUUGGUCAACAGUGUUUUAUAGAUUUUGUUGGGUCAUUACCACAACGCCGAAAUAACAACGAAUGAAUUUGUGUGUGUUUCUUAAAUGUAACUUAAUGCUGAAAUACCACAAUCAAGUACAACACUUUCAUUUGCUAGUUCUCUAGUUGCUUAAUUUUGUUACUGUUUCAUUUCACAAUUUUUUUAGUUAAUUUGUACCCUUCUCUAAGUUAGGCAAGUUGUAUUAACGAAAAUAAUUUAUACUGCUCAAGGAAAGCUUAAAAUGUUAUUUUAUAGUUUAUUCCGUAUUACAAAACAAAUUUUAGAUUAGUUUGACCCCUUUGACAUAUGAGCCAUUAACUUCUAAUAAUGUAAACAUUUAUAUGAGUUAAUGUUAAUAACUUAGUUGUGUACUCAAAUUUGAUAAAUAUGAAUUUAUGAUGUAUGCUACAUGAUAUAUGUAUUGAAAGCUGAUAAAAAAAUGUUGCAAAUAGAAUUUGAAUUAUUUAAUAUAAGUUAACUAGGUGAGUAUCGAGUAUCGAGAAUCAAAGGAUUUUUUAAGGAAUCGAUAAUCGGGUAUCGGAAUCGAAAAUUUUGGAAUCGUCCCAUCCUUAAUUGAAUUUCUCUAAAACUAAUUAUAUUAAAUUCAGAAAUAGGACCAAAGUAUAUGAAAACAAGUUUGACAUAAAAUUCAAUGGAAACAAUAUCUUGCAGGUUAACUCAGUAAAUUUCGUAGGGGUAUAUAUUGAUGAGCAAUUAGAAUUUACGGAACACAUAAAUAAUAUUGCGAAAACAAUUAAAUUCAGCCUGCUAUGUCUUGAGGUAUCUUGUAGAAUUAGUCGAUUUAAAAACAAUUAAAACUGUGUAUCAUGAAUAUUUCCAUACAAUCAUGUCUUAAAGAUAAAAAAACAUCUAGUUGCAUACAAAAAUUAAAACAAAUAGGAAUACUAACAUUUACAAAUGAAUAAAUAUACAGAACAUUAAUAUUCUGCUAUAGACACCAAACCAAAUUUAAAAGAAGCAAAGAUAUCCAUCAUAAUACUCGAGGAUGCAAUAAAUUGAGACCCAUACAACACACCAGUACUCAAUUUGAGAUAGGAAUAGAGCACAUUGGCAGAAUACUACUUAAUAUCUUACCUUACAAAUUAAUGGAAAUCAGCAACAUAGAUAAAUAUAAAGCUUCCAUAAAAAAUAUACUUGUAUGCAAUCCAUUUUACAAUUUAAAAGAAUUUAUGGAGUAUACUGCUGAAAGAGGGGAAGCAUUCUGGAACAGCCAGACUCCCUUUUAUAGCUACAAUGACUAACAACAAUAUCCUAAUACCCUAAAUCCUGCUUAAUGUAUUUUUCCUUAAUAAAUAUAAGAAAUUGCUUGGCAUGUCUUGUCUAUGGGUGUGUAUAAAAAAAAUAAUGUAUUUGCAAUUCAGAUUGAAGGAACUUUGUUACUAUUUGUUUUACUUCAAAGUUGUGUAUAUAUGGAACUAUAUGUGUAUGUAAAACUGUGUAUAUGUGGAACGAAUGUAUAGCUGUAAAUAUGUAAAUGACAUGUUCCAUAGCUUUAUGGUUUCUACCAAAAGAAGGCUCAAUGGAAUACAAAUGGAUAAAUAAAUAAAAUUUAAAAAAGAUAA